CUGACUUGUCAUAUCCGGAUAGAUUUUCCAUAUGUGAUAGAAACCGAAGGUUAAUAUGGAUGUGAGCCUAAAAGAAAAAGAGCAAAGGGGAAGAUGAUGGAGAAGAAUACAACAGUCAAGACAAGCACUUGGAUAUGAAAAAAAAUGAAAUAACAAAAGAAAAUUGUAAUGGGGACCUUCACACAUGGGUGUUAGAAAGAGAAGUAUACAGUGGAGCCAAUACCAAAGCUCAUCUUGAGAAUCUUUUCUAGCAAUAUGUUGGUUGCAACGAUCUUCUCUACCUUUUAUUCCUCUUAUAUUUCAACAUCUAUAAUCUUUUGUUUUAAUCAUUUUUCCCUUUGGAAAAAGAUAUAUACUUUUUCAGUUA
Long non-coding RNA from Brassica oleracea var. oleracea, 367 nucleotides. RefSeq lists it as uncharacterized. The record is from RefSeq and is a predicted model, not a curated record. NCBI's taxonomy places the organism in Eukaryota, Viridiplantae, Streptophyta, Magnoliopsida, Brassicales, Brassicaceae. The transcript is spliced from 2 exons.